Molecule: ribosomal RNA, 431 nt
Filed under: uncultured bacterium
Lineage: Bacteria
Description: bacterial SSU rRNA
Rfam family: Bacterial small subunit ribosomal RNA
Source: RNAcentral
GUGGGGAAUAUUGCGCUAAUGCGCGAAAGCGUGACGCAGCGACGCCGCGUGGGGGAUGAAGGCCCUCGGGUCGUAAACCCCUUUCGGCAGGGACGAAGCGAAAGUGACGGUACCUGCAGAAGAAGUCCCGGCUAACUACGUGCCAGCAGCCGCGGUAACACGUAGGGGACGAGCGUUGUCCGGAUUCAUUGGGCGUAAAGCGCGCGUAGGCGGUCGUGCAAGUCGGUCGUGAAAUCCCGGGGCUCAACCCCGGGACUGCGUCCGAUACUGCACGACUGGAGGCAGGUAGGGGAGAUCGGAAUUCCUGGUGUAGCGGUGAAAUGCGCAGAUAUCAGGAGGAACACCGGUGGCGAAGGCGGAUCUCUGGGCCUUGCCUGACGCUGAGGCGCGAAAGCUAGGGGAGCGAACAGGAUUAGAUACCCGAGUAGUCC